This is a long non-coding RNA of Dreissena polymorpha, 552 nucleotides long. RefSeq lists it as uncharacterized. The transcript is spliced from 2 exons. Lineage: Eukaryota; Metazoa; Mollusca; Bivalvia; Myida; Dreissenidae. The record is from RefSeq and is a predicted model, not a curated record.
UGGCCAAGAUCCUGAAAGAACAACAUAUAAAAAGGCUUUUCUGUCGAUAAUAACGUAAACACUAUCUGGAAGAAAUUAAGGUUCACUAUAUUAAUAUUAAAACAUGAAUAACGUUUUUGCCGUGAGUGUUGCUUUUUGCUGCUUUUCGAUGGUUCUAUCCUUGCGGAUGGUCGUGCGACCACGCAGUACAACAACGGAGUCGCCUAUCCAUCUACCGUGCAGAUCAGACAGGGACUGUAAGCGCAUAGUGUGCGACAAUUACGGUGAGGUCCCUGAGUGCCACAGAGCCGCUUCGUCCCCCACGGGCGCCGAGUGCCAUUGUCAUGUACCGGACGAGUGCUUGGUUAACGCGGACUGCGUGCCGGAGUGCGGUCCAAGCGCCACGUGUGACGACAGGGCAUGCCAUGGGCAAUGCAUACACAAUUAAACGAUGUUACCACGCAUUCACUCUGCAUUAUAAUUUUAUUUGAAGAAAAAACUAUCCAACCAUUUAUGUCCGCAAAUGUUAAUGUUAUAUUUAUCAAUCCAAUAAUUAAAAUUGCGUACAAAUGA